This 253-nucleotide ribosomal RNA is filed under the name uncultured bacterium. RNAcentral's name for it is "partial 16S ribosomal RNA". It matches the Rfam family "Bacterial small subunit ribosomal RNA", at positions 524 to 776 of the family's 1533-position model. The record is from RNAcentral.
UACGGGGGGGGCAAGCGUUGUUCGGAAUUACUGGGCGUAAAGCGUGCGCAGGCGGUUCGCUGUGUCCGAUGUGAAAGCCCCGGGCUUAACCUGGGAAUGGCAUUGGAAACUGGCGGGCUUGAGUGCGGCAGAGGGGGGUGGAAUUCCGCGUGUAGCAGUGAAAUGCGUAGAGAUGCGGAGGAACACCGAUGGCGAAGGCAGCCCCCUGGGUCGACACUGACGCUCAGGCACGAAAGCGUGGGGAGCAAACAGG